GACGAACGCUGGCGGCGUGCUUAACACAUGCAAGUCGAACGGAAAGGCCUCUUUCGGGGGGUACUCGAGUGGCGAACGGGUGAGUAACACGUGAGUAACCUGCCCUUGACUUUGGGAUAACUUCAGGAAACUGGGGCUAAUACCGGAUAGGAGCUCCUGCUGCAUGGUGGGGGUUGGAAAGUUUCGGCGGUUGGGGCUGGACUCGCGGCUUAUCAGCUUGUUGGUGGGGUAGUGGCUUACCAAGGCUUUGACGGGUAGCCGGCCUGAGAGGGUGACCGGCCACAUUGGGACUGAGAUACGGCCCAGACUCCCACGGGAGGCAGCAGUGGGGAAUAUUGCACAAUGGGUGGAAGCCUGAUGCAGCAACGCCGUGUGCGGGAUGACGGCCUUCGGGUUGUAAACCGCUUUCGCUCAUGACGAAGCUUUGUGUGACGGUAGUGGGUAAAGAAGCACCGGCUAACUACGUG
This 467-nucleotide ribosomal RNA is filed under the name uncultured bacterium. Its description in RNAcentral is "partial 16S ribosomal RNA". It matches the Rfam family "Bacterial small subunit ribosomal RNA", at positions 28 to 507 of the family's 1533-position model. The record is from RNAcentral.